CACGCCCUAAACGAUGCGAACUGGAUGUUGUGAGCAAUUAGGCUCUCAGUAUCGAAGCUAACGCGUUAAGUUCGCCGCCUGGGGAGUACGGUCGCAAGACUGAAACUCAAAGGAAUUGACGGGGGCCCGCACAAGCGGUGGAGUAUGUGGUUUAAUUCGAUGCAACGCGAAGAACCUUACCUGGCCUUGACAUGUCCGGAAUCCUGCAGAGAUGCGGGAGUGCCUUCGGGAAUCGGAACACAGGUGC
Molecule: ribosomal RNA, 247 nt
Filed under: uncultured Lysobacteraceae bacterium
Lineage: Bacteria; Pseudomonadati; Pseudomonadota; Gammaproteobacteria; Lysobacterales; Lysobacteraceae
Description: uncultured Xanthomonadaceae bacterium partial 16S ribosomal RNA
Rfam family: Bacterial small subunit ribosomal RNA
Source: RNAcentral